RNAcentral lists this ribosomal RNA (460 nucleotides) under uncultured bacterium. RNAcentral's name for it is "partial 16S ribosomal RNA". It matches the Rfam family "Bacterial small subunit ribosomal RNA", at positions 338 to 795 of the family's 1533-position model. The record is from RNAcentral.
CCUACGGGUGGCAGCAGUGAGGAAUAUUGGUCAAUGGGCGAGAGCCUGAACCAGCCAAGUCGCGUGAAGGAUGAAGGAUCUAUGGUUUGUAAACUUCUUUUAUAUGGGAAUAAAGUGAGGAACGUGUUCCUUUUUGUAUGUACCAUAUGAAUAAGCAUCGGCUAACUCCGUGCCAGCAGCCGCGGUAAUACGGAGGAUGCGAGUGUUAUCCGGAUUUAUUGGGUUUAAAGGGUGCGUAGGUGGAUAAUUAAGUCAGCGGUGAAAGUUUGUGGCUCAACCAUAAAAUUGCCGUUGAAACUGGUUGACUUGAGUAUAUUUGAGGUAGGCGGUAUGCGUGGUGUAGCGGUGAAAUGCAUAGAUAUCACGCAGAACUCCGAUUGCGAAGGCAGCUUACUAAACUAUAACUGACACUGAAGCACGAAAGCGUGGGUAUCAAACAGGAUUAGAUACCCCUGUAGUC